This 333-nucleotide ribosomal RNA is filed under the name uncultured bacterium. Its description in RNAcentral is "bacterial SSU rRNA". It matches the Rfam family "Bacterial small subunit ribosomal RNA", at positions 8 to 334 of the family's 1533-position model. The record is from RNAcentral.
AGAGUUCGAUUAUGGCUCAGGACGAACGCUGGCGGCGCGCCUAACACAUGCAAGUCGAACGGAGUGUUGAGGAGCUUGCUUUUUAACACUUAGUGGCGAACGGGUGAGUAACGCGUGAGUAACCUGCCCUCGAGUGGGGGACAACAGUUGGAAACGACUGCUAAUACCGCAUAAGACCACAGAGCCGCAUGGCUCAGGGGUAAAAGGAUUUAUUCGCUUGAGGAUGGACUCGCGUCCAAUUAGCUAGUUGGUGAGGUAACGGCCCACCAAGGCGACGAUUGGUAGCCGGACUGAGAGGUUGAUCGGCCACAUUGGGACUGAGACACGGCCCAG